AGUGAACGCUGGCGGUAGGCCUAACACAUGCAAGUCGAACGGCAGCACAGGAGAGCUUGCUCUCUGGGUGGCGAGUGGCGGACGGGUGAGGAAUACAUCGGAAUCUACUCUGUCGUGGGGGAUAACGUAGGGAGACUUCAGCUAAUACCGAAUACGACCUACGGGUGAAAGGAGGGGAUCUUCGGACCUUGCGCGAUUGAAUGAGCCGAUGUCGGAGUAGCGAGUUGGCGGGGUAAAGGCCCGACAAGGAGACGAUCCGUAGCUGGUCUGAGAGGAUGAUCAGCGACACUGGAACUGAGACACGGUCCAGACGCCUACGGGAGGCGGCAGUGGGGAAUAUUGGACAAUGGGCGCAAGCCUGAUCCAGCCAUACCGCGUGGGUGAAGAAGGCCUUCGGGUUGUAAAGCCCUUUUGUUGGGAAAGAAAUCCAGCUGGCUAAUACCCGGUUGGGAUGACGGUACCCAAAGAAUAAGCACCGGCUAACUUCGUGCCAGCAGCCGCGGUAA
RNAcentral lists this ribosomal RNA (506 nucleotides) under uncultured bacterium. Its description in RNAcentral is "partial 16S ribosomal RNA". It matches the Rfam family "Bacterial small subunit ribosomal RNA", at positions 29 to 523 of the family's 1533-position model. The record is from RNAcentral.